GACGAACGCUGGCGGCGUGCUUAACACAUGCAAGUCGAACGGAAAGGCCUUUUCGGAGGUACUCGAGUGGCGAACGGGUGAGUAACACGUGGGUGAUCUGCCCUGCACUCUGGGAUAAGCCUGGGAAACUGGGUCUAAUACCGGAUAGGACCGCACUUUAGUGUGUGUGGUGGAAAGUUUUUUCGGUGUAGGGUGAGCCCGCGGCCUAUCAGCUUGUUGGUGGGGUAAUGGUCUACCAAGGCGGCGACGGGUAGGCGGACUGAGGGGGUGGUCGGCCACAUUGGGUCUGAGGUACGGCCCCAGCACCGACGGGAGGCAGAAGUGGGGAAGAUUGCACCAUGGGCGCAAGCCUGGUGAAGCGACGCCGCGGGGCGGAAGACGGCCUUUGGGGUGGAAAAUCCAUUCGCCAGGGACGAAGCGUUUUGUGACGGUACCUGGAGAAGAAGCACCGGCUAACUACGUG
This 463-nucleotide ribosomal RNA is filed under the name uncultured bacterium. RNAcentral describes it as "partial 16S ribosomal RNA". It matches the Rfam family "Bacterial small subunit ribosomal RNA", at positions 28 to 507 of the family's 1533-position model. The record is from RNAcentral.